UAACGCGUAUCCAACCUGCCUUACACUCUUGGACAGCCUUCUGAAAGGGAGAUUAAUACAAGAUGUUAUCAUGAGUAAACAUUUUCGCAUGAUUAAAGGUUUACCGGUGUAAGAUGGGGAUGCGUUCCAUUAGAUAGUAGGCGGGGUAACGGCCCACCUAGUCUUCGAUGGAUAGGGGUUCUGAGAGGAAGGUCCCCCACAUUGGAACUGAGACACGGUCCAAACUCCUACGGGAGGCAGCAGUGAGGAAUAUUGGUCAAUGGACGAGAGUCUGAACCAGCCAAGUAGCGCGAAGGAUGAAGGUUCUAUGGAUUGUAAACUUCUUUUAUACGGGAAUAAACGGAUCCACGCGUGGAUUUUUGCAUGUACCGUAUGAAUAAGGAUCGGCUAACUCCGUGCCAGCAGCCGCGGUAAUACGGAGGAUCCGAGCGUUAUCCGGAUUUAUUGGGUUUAAAGGGAGCGUAGAUGGGUUGUUAAGUCAGUUGUGAAAGUUUGCGGCUCAACCGUAAAAUUGCAAUUGAUACUGGCAGUCUUGAGUACAGUUGAGGUAGGCGGAAUUCGUGGUGUAGCGGUGAAAUGCUUAGAUAUCACGAAGAACUCCGAUUGCGAAGGCAGCUUACUAACCUGUAACUGACAUUGAUGCUCGAAAGUGUGGGUAUCAAACAGGAUUAGAUACCCUGGUAGUCCACACGGUAAACGAUGAAUACUCGCUGU
This 714-nucleotide ribosomal RNA is filed under the name uncultured bacterium. Its description in RNAcentral is "bacterial SSU rRNA". It matches the Rfam family "Bacterial small subunit ribosomal RNA", at positions 111 to 823 of the family's 1533-position model. The record is from RNAcentral.